CCCUGUUUUGCCACGGUGUUAAGUUUGGUCGGAUUAAAGCAAAAAACAAAAAAAAUAAUUCCAUGUGAAAUGACGAGAAUUUUUUGUUCUGGCCAGCUUCUCACCCUACAUAUAGCGGCGGUGACUAUCUAGGGUAUGACUGUCGCUGAGCUUGUGCGGUGCAGUCAGGUCGGUGACCCCGCCUGAUCUCACUACAGGAAGCAGAUGAUUUGCUA
Molecule: long non-coding RNA, 215 nt
Filed under: Sorghum bicolor (sorghum)
Lineage: Eukaryota; Viridiplantae; Streptophyta; Magnoliopsida; Poales; Poaceae
Description: long non-coding RNA (SBIC_LNC009588)
Source: RNAcentral